UAAUACAGAGACUGCAAGCGUUAUUCGGAUUCACUGGGCGUAAAGGGUGCGCAGGCGGUUGGGUGUGUCAGAUGUGAAAUCCCGAGGCUUAACCUCGGAACUGCGUCUGAAACUACUCGACUAGAGUACUGGAGAGGGAAACGGAAUUCACGGUGUAGCAGUGAAAUGCGUAGAUAUCGUGAGGAACACCAGAGGCGAAGGCGGUUUCCUGGACAGUUACUGACGCUCAGGCACGAAAGCAUGGGGAGCAAAAGGG
RNAcentral lists this ribosomal RNA (256 nucleotides) under uncultured bacterium. RNAcentral describes it as "partial 16S ribosomal RNA". It matches the Rfam family "Bacterial small subunit ribosomal RNA", at positions 521 to 776 of the family's 1533-position model. The record is from RNAcentral.